Long non-coding RNA from Falco peregrinus (peregrine falcon), 1848 nucleotides. RefSeq lists it as uncharacterized. The transcript is spliced from 3 exons. The record is from RefSeq and is a predicted model, not a curated record. Lineage: Eukaryota; Metazoa; Chordata; Aves; Falconiformes; Falconidae.
UGUGUCGGUGACUCGAGGCCGCCUCCGGGCGGGCAGCCGGUUGUAGGGGCAGCGGGGCGAGCGGCGGCCGCGGGAGAAACGGGCGGGGGGGCUCCCGCGGUCUGUCCCUUCCCGCGACGCCGGGGCCACCCUCGUGCAGAUCGCGCCGUGUCACCUCCCUGAUGGCAACCACCACCCGCCCCUCCAGAAAAGUCGUCAGCCCGGUACCGCCGCUUCCCCCGUUGUCCACGGCAACCGGCGUAUCUGAUUGAACCUCGUUGUAGGCAGUGACACCCGCGUAAUGGAUCAUCCUGUCAGUGCUUUUUUAUCACAGGCAUUUAUUUUGGUCACGGCUGGUGAUAACUUUGCUGUUUAUCCCUUGUGUCGUUACGGGCCCGGCCGCGAUCUCCCUUCCGCCCCUCCUCCCCGGCGGGCGAGCCGGGGGUGGGGGCGCUCCAGGACGGCGGGGACUGCGGCUCCCCUCUCCCGCCCGGGCGCCGCUGCUAGGGGCCCCUCCGACCCCCCCCCCCCGUCCCGGGCUCCCGCGGCGGCUGGGGACGGAUCGAUCUGUUUGGCUUGGUGAAGCGCCCUCCCCCGCUCGCCCCGGCCUCCCCGGGGCCGGGUUAUCUUGGGUCAUGCGGAGCUGGCGCGGAGCGCCGGGUGCGGUAAGAGGCUCCGGUGGAGCCCUGGUGCAGGAGGGAGCCGGGGGAGGAAAGUGCCGUCCGCAGUUCUCCAUCAAUCCAGACACUUCAAAAGUAAAUAAAGCAGGGCAGGGCAGGGCCUCCAGGGAGGGGAGAGAAGAGGCCUCUGACAGGCGAUUGUCCAGGGCGGAGCCAGGGCUAUUUCCAGCCCGGGAAUAACAACACUUGGGCUGCGGUGACUCCGACCCGCGUGUCCAGGAAAGACCGGAUCGGGGUGUUUGUUUUGCUUUUAAUUAUUAUUUUGACGGCGGGCUGGCGCGGCUCGGGCUAACAAUGAUCCCAAGCCGUGCGAGAGGGGCAGCGGGGGGGGGAGGAGGGGGGAGACCAGCGAGGGGGCGGGCGCCGGCCCAGGUUUGCUGCCCCCGCUGAAGGUCGGGGCUGGAGUCGCCGGGCCGGGAGGAGCCCGCCGGGGCUGCAGGCGGCGGGCCGGGCCGGGGACGGCCCCGCGGGGAGGCAGGCGGCGCAGCGGGCAGGGAGGGCUGGUGGGGAGCCGGGCCGGAGCCCCCGGCACGCUGCCGGGCGGGGGUGGGAGGCAGCCGUGCUUAUCUGGGUCACUGAGGUUAGAGGGAGCAGCUGAUAGGAACAGAGGAGCUGAGCUCCCGCUGCUGCAGGGAUACGGCCGCGAAACGGGCCAGGCAGGCACCGAGCUGGUGGAAGGGCAGGAGGGAGGGAGGGAGGGAGGGAAAGAGGGAGGAGGAGGCGGCGGCUCGUUCCGGCUCCCGAGCCGAGCCCAGGUGCGCUGUGGUUUCCCUGCGCUCAGCGCUGUGCUCGGCAUCCCCCCUCCCCUCGCUCCCCAUCCCCCGUCCCCCCCCUCGUCGCCCUCCAACGUUUAACCCUUUCCCACCUCCGCGGGGCUGGAGGCUGAGGCGUGCGCUGGCCCGGCCGCGUCCCCUGCGGUUCCCCACUCCCUCCGUGGCAGAGAGUGAUCGCGGGCUCGAAAGAGAUGGUGCAGGGAGCUGCCUCCUUAUCUCGCUCUUCGCUGCCGGUUUAACUCCUUCCUGCAUCCCCAGCACAGCAGCCAAAAGGACCAUCAGGGAACGUGCGGCCCUCUCUGUGCUUGCUUCUUCACGCUCCCACUCCUUCCCCCCCUCCCCUUUUUUCUUUCUUUUUUCUUCCUUUUUUUUUGUUGAAACUCGGCCGCUUCCUUGCACGGCUCCGAAGAUUUAAC